GACGAACGCUGGCGGCGUGCUUAACACAUGCAAGUCGAACGGAAAGGCCCUGCUUUUGUGGGGUGCUCGAGUUGCGAACGGGUGAGUAACACGUGCGUAACCUGCCCUUGACUUUGGGAUAACUUCAGGAAACUGGGGCUAAUACCGGAUAGGAGCUCCUGCUGCAUGGUGGGGGUUGGAAAGUUUCGGCGGUUGGGGAUGGACUCGCGGCUUAUCAGAUUGUUGGUGGGGUAGUGGCUUACCAAGGCUUUGACGGGUAGCCGGCCUGAGAGGGUGACCGGCCACAUUGGGACUGAGAUACGGCCCAGACUCCUACGGGAGGCAGCAGUGGGGAAUAUUGCACAAUGGGCGGAAGCCUGAUGCAGCAACGCCGCGUGCGGGAUGACGGCAUUCGGGUUGUAAACCGCUUUCGCCUGUGACGAAGCGUGAGUGACGGUAAUGGGUAAAGAAGCACCGGCUAACUACGUG
RNAcentral lists this ribosomal RNA (468 nucleotides) under uncultured bacterium. RNAcentral's name for it is "partial 16S ribosomal RNA". It matches the Rfam family "Bacterial small subunit ribosomal RNA", at positions 28 to 507 of the family's 1533-position model. The record is from RNAcentral.